AUUGAACGCUGGCGGCAGGCCUAACACAUGCAAGUCGAACGGUAACAGGAAGAAGCUUGCUUCUUUGCUGACGAGUGGCGGACGGGUGAGUAAUGUCUGGGAAACUGCCUGAUGGAGGGGGAUAACUACUGGAAACGGUAGCUAAUACCGCAUAACGUCGCAAGACCAAAGAGGGGGACCUUCGGGCCUCUUGCCAUCGGAUGUGCCCAGAUGGGAUUAGCUAGUAGGUGGGGUAACGGCUCACCUAGGCGACGAUCCCUAGCUGGUCUGAGAGGAUGACCAGCCAAACUGGAACUGAGACACGGUCCAGACUCCUACGGGAGGCAGCAGUGGGGAAUAUUGCACAAUGGGCGCAAGCCUGAUGGAGCCAUGCCGCGUGUAUGAAGAAGGCCUUCGGGUUGUAAAGUACUUUCAGCGGGGAGGAAGGAAGUAAAGUUAAUACCUUCGCUCAUUGACGUUACCCGCAGAAGAAGCACCGGCUAACUCCGUG
This 490-nucleotide ribosomal RNA is filed under the name uncultured bacterium. RNAcentral's name for it is "partial 16S ribosomal RNA". It matches the Rfam family "Bacterial small subunit ribosomal RNA", at positions 30 to 507 of the family's 1533-position model. The record is from RNAcentral.